UCCCUGGUGAUCUAGUGGUUAGGAUUCAGGGCUUUCAGCACUGUGGCCUCGGUUCAAUCCCGGUCUGGGAA
RNAcentral lists this transfer RNA (71 nucleotides) under Sus scrofa (pig). It matches the Rfam family "tRNA". Rfam says of the family: Transfer RNA (tRNA) molecules are approximately 80 nucleotides in length. Lineage: Eukaryota; Metazoa; Chordata; Mammalia; Artiodactyla; Suidae. The record is from Rfam by way of RNAcentral.